ACAAUGAUACUCCCUUGCCGUCGUAGUCCGAGCGUUUGAAGCGUCGCAGGCAACGAGCAGGGCCGCGUGAGAACCACGCGGGGGUGAGAUUCCCGUGG
Molecule: non-coding RNA, 98 nt
Organism: Holdemania filiformis DSM 12042
Lineage: Bacteria; Bacillati; Bacillota; Erysipelotrichia; Erysipelotrichales; Erysipelotrichaceae
Source: Rfam